AUUGAACGCUGGCGGCAUGCCUAACACAUGCAAGUCGAACGAGACCUUCGGGUCUAGUGGCGCACGGGUGCGUAACGCGUGGGAAUCUGCCCUUGGGUUCGGAAUAACAGCGAGAAAUUGCUGCUAAUACCGGAUGAUGACGUAAGUCCAAAGAUUUAUCGCCCAAGGAUGAGCCCGCGUAGGAUUAGCUAGUUGGUGAGGUAAAGGCUCACCAAGGCGACGAUCCUUAGCUGGUCUGAGAGGAUGAUCAGCCACACUGGGACUGAGACACGGCCCAGACUCCUACGGGAGGCAGCAGUGGGGAAUAUUGGACAAUGGGCGAAAGCCUGAUCCAGCAAUGCCGCGUGAGUGAUGAAGGCCUUAGGGUUGUAAAGCUCUUUUACCCGGGAUGAUAAUGACAGU
Molecule: ribosomal RNA, 402 nt
Filed under: uncultured bacterium
Lineage: Bacteria
Description: bacterial SSU rRNA
Rfam family: Bacterial small subunit ribosomal RNA
Source: RNAcentral